GCUAUUUAGGUUAGAGUUUGAUCCUGGCUCAGAUUGAACGCUGGCGGCAUGCCUUACACAUGCAAGUCGAACGGCAGCGCGGGGCAACCUGGCGGCGAGUGGCGAACGGGUGAGUAAUAUAUCGGAACGUACCCUGGAGUGGGGGAUAACGUAGCGAAAGUUACGCUAAUACCGCAUACGAUCUAAGGAUGAAAGCAGGGGACCGCAAGGCCUUGUGCUCCUGGAGCGGCCGAUAUCUGAUUAGCUAGUUGGUAGGGUAAAAGCCUACCAAGGCAUCGAUCAGUAGCUGGUCUGAGAGGACGACCAGCCACACUGGAACUGAGACACGGUCCAGACUCCUACGGGAGGCAGCAGUGGGGAAUUUUGGACAAUGGGGGCAACCCUGAUCCAGCAAUGCCGCGUGAGUGAAGAAGGCCUUCGGGUUGUAAAGCUCUUUUGUCAGGGAAGAAACGGUGAGGGCUAAUAUCCCUUGCUAAUGACGGUACCUGAAGAAUAAGCACCGGCUAACUACGUGCCAGCAGCCGCGGUAAU
RNAcentral lists this ribosomal RNA (531 nucleotides) under uncultured bacterium. Its description in RNAcentral is "bacterial SSU rRNA". It matches the Rfam family "Bacterial small subunit ribosomal RNA", at positions 1 to 524 of the family's 1533-position model. The record is from RNAcentral.